Molecule: long non-coding RNA, 398 nt
Filed under: Sorghum bicolor (sorghum)
Lineage: Eukaryota; Viridiplantae; Streptophyta; Magnoliopsida; Poales; Poaceae
Description: long non-coding RNA (SBIC_LNC009168)
Source: RNAcentral
UGAGCAUUAGUAAGGGCGGCUUGUGUCUCAGCCGCCUCUAUUGUCUGCAUUUGCAAGAGCGGCUCAAUCUAGAACCGCCCCUACAGUUAUUUUUCAGAAAAAAAUAAAAAUCACAAUAAUCGAGUUGACAGCACAACACAGCACCACAUACAUAUAUACAUAUAUAAUCAGACUCUCAACAUCACAGAUUCACAACAUAAAUAUCCAUACAUAUACACAGCACCACAUUUCAAGUCCAAAAUGUUUCCAAGUCCAUUACAAAUCCAUCCAAAAGAGUCCGAAAUUUUUCAUGUACUAAUACAAAUCGAUCACAGUCCAUUCCAACAAGUUCACAUGUAAUCAACGACCUAGACAUAGCCUAUGCCACUGACGGAGGUGCUGGUAAAGAGGAUGCUACC